UGGGGAAUAUUGCACAAUGGGCGAAAGCCUGAUGCAGCGACGCCGCGUGAGGGAUGACGGCCUUCGGGUUGUAAACCUCUUUCAGUAGGGACGAAGCGCAAGUGACGGUACCUGCAGAAGAAGCACCGGCUAACUACGUGCCAGCAGCCGCGGUAAUACGUAGGGUGCGAGCGUUGUCCGGAAUUACUGGGGGUAAAGAGCUCGUAGGCGGUUUGUCACGUCGUCUGUGAAAUCCUAGGGCUUAACCCUGGACGUGCAGGCGAUACGGGCUGACUUGAGUACUACAGGGGAGACUGGAAUUUCUGGUGUAGCGGUGGAAUGCACAGAUAUCAGGAAGAACACCGAUGGCGAAGGCAGGUCUCUGGGUAGUAACUGACGCUGAGGAGCGAAAGCAUGGGUAGCGAACAGG
This 409-nucleotide ribosomal RNA is filed under the name bacterium. RNAcentral describes it as "partial 16S ribosomal RNA". It matches the Rfam family "Bacterial small subunit ribosomal RNA", at positions 355 to 776 of the family's 1533-position model. The record is from RNAcentral.